Molecule: ribosomal RNA, 439 nt
Filed under: uncultured bacterium
Lineage: Bacteria
Description: partial 16S ribosomal RNA
Rfam family: Bacterial small subunit ribosomal RNA
Source: RNAcentral
CUACGGGUUGCUGCAGUGGGGAAUCUUAGACAAUGGGGGAAACCCUGAUCUAGCCAUGCCGCGUGAGCGACGACGGCCCUAGGGUUGUAAAGCUCUUUCAGCAGGGAAGAUAAUGACGGUACCUGCGGAAGAAGUCCCGGCUAACUCCGUGCCAGCAGCCGCGGUAAUACGGAGGGGACUAGCGUUGUUCGGAAUUACUGGGCGUAAAGCGCGCGUAGGCGGAUUGUUAAGUCGGGGGUGAAAUCCCGGGGCUCAACCCCGGAACUGCCCUCGAUACUGGCAGUCUUGAGUUCGAGAGAGGUGAGUGGAAUUCCGAGUGUAGAGGUGAAAUUCGUAGAUAUUCGGAGGAACACCAGUGGCGAAGGCGGCUCACUGGCUCGAUACUGACGCUGAGGUGCGAAAGCGUGGGGAGCAAACAGGAUUAGAUACCCUUGUAGUC